Molecule: long non-coding RNA, 496 nt
Filed under: Homo sapiens (human)
Lineage: Eukaryota; Metazoa; Chordata; Mammalia; Primates; Hominidae
Description: HSALNT0028722
Source: RNAcentral
UGCAGGGCCAGAGAAUAAUUUGCAUUUUCACAGAUUAGCUUGAAUAGGAGCUAUUUAAUGUAUUUAUCUACAACGAACUCACCUUCUUUAACCGACCUCUCUUCAACUUGUGUUUAUAGCUCAAUUCAGUCAGAACAACCUCCGGGUUUUCAUGGCUUUCCCUUUUUCUGUUUUGAUUUUGUUCAUUUGUUUUUUAAUCCAACAUUUACCAUCAUUAUGCUUUCCUUCCUUGCAGAGAAAAUCCUCUCCAGUCAAGUAAUUGCAUCCAUUUCAUCUUCCCAGCCCUCCUCUAGAUGGGAGGUGGAGGUGUGUGUACCAAUCUCUUAAUUCAGAAAUGAGACAAGAGGAGGAAAAAGGAGUUCCGGAGGACAGUGGGGACCCCAGCCAGAGCCUGGGGACUUGGCUGCCUUGGAACCAGAACCUGGCCCCUCAGAGGAGUUGCAGAAUUUCGAUAGAGGAGUGGCAGGAGGUGUACUGGCUGAAGAGGAGGCCCAAG